RNAcentral lists this ribosomal RNA (205 nucleotides) under uncultured bacterium. RNAcentral describes it as "partial 16S ribosomal RNA". It matches the Rfam family "Bacterial small subunit ribosomal RNA", at positions 1288 to 1500 of the family's 1533-position model. The record is from RNAcentral.
UCAGUUCGGAUCGGAGUCUGCAACCCGACUCCGUGAAGCUGGAUUCGCUAGUAAUCGCGCAUCAGCCAUGGCGCGGUGAAUACGUUCCCGGGCCUUGUACACACCGCCCGUCAAGCCAUGGAAGCCGGGGGUGCCUGAAGUGCACUGCCGCAAGGAGCGCCCUAGGGUAAAACCGGUGACUGGGGCUAAGUCGUAACAAGGUACC